UGCACUUCCUCACACCCCCUGUGGCCCUUCCGCUUCCUUGGGUCCUCCGUCCCCACAUGGCCACAUCCAUUCCCAUUUCUUCCCUUUGGGUGUACUAGUGUGAGCAAGAGAGAUGGAGGAGGAGCCAGCGCUGCGCAGCUUGUGCCGCAACGACGCAGGGCCUUCAAGGGGCAGCGAGAUCCCAACACACAGUCGCAGGUGUCGGCAGUGUUUCUCUGCAGCGAACUGAAGUUGAGUGACUUCCAUUUCUUUCCCUGUUUCCCCCAUGUUCUGGAUCUUCUCCUCUCUUUUUCUUGUUAAUUAGUGUUUCUUUAAUUUCUUAAUCAAUUGGAAAUUAAGCCCGCAACUGAUCCUUAUCAUUUCAUUGGUGAUUUAAGUAUUUAUGGGGAUGCAUAAAUUGUUAGUGCACCUGGAAUGGGAAUAUAUGAAUGUUAUUUUGAUAUCCUCGACGAGAAUUUAAACUAACAGUCAUCACCUAAAAUGUUUACAUUUAUUUCAUAUAAAAUCUAUUUUUUCUAACAUGCUUUUUCUACCAUCGGUGCCAUUUAACAAGGUAUACUCUCUAUAUUUGGUCCUAGAAUUGCUUUUGUCAAAGUUGUAUUAAUUUAAUACAGUGUUGUGUUAUUCUUUUGGUUAAUUUUUUCUAACAAAAAAGUUUUAGACAGAUAUCUAAGUGUAUUUUUUAUGCAAUUAAUAAAUUUUCAACUGCGAUAAUGUUCCUCUGCACAUAUUACAAGUUUGUUUAAAAACAUAAGUUUUACUAUGCAAUGUAUAGGUAUGAGAUGGCAUAUCAUUUUUUAAAGAGUUUUGUAGCUAAGAUAAUUUAUAGUAAUAUAUUAUUGGAGAAAUUCUAUAUGUUUCAAUUACAACACUUCCAUCAUUAUUUACAGUGUAUUUUUUUCACUGUGAUAAUCUAAUCAAGUCGGACAAGUGUUAAGUCAUAUGGUACCAUUGUUUUACAUCCAUCAUAAAAUUUGUAACUUUACUUUUGCUAACAUGCAAUUUUUAAGUUUUAUUCGAUGGGUUAAUGUAAAUUAGAAAAAUGUAUGUGAUUUUGUAUAUAUUGUGAAUUAGUCAUUUAAUUGUGGUAUAGUUGCACUGCAACUUAUAGUGUUGCUGCGGUGUGUCAAAUGGGCUCAUGAACUGAUCAUACUUGAAAUGUGACAUAUGUUGUUGCCCCUUUAAUUAUCUACAUGAUACAAAAUAAUGUAAUAAUGUACUUGAGAUAACCAUGAAAUUAUCUCAUCCUUGUACAGUUCAAUUGUGACAGCUAGCUAAGGAGCCAAUUUGUAGGACCAAUGGGGACAAGAGCGUAGAAGGAUUAUAAUAGCUAAGCCCCUUUCUGUUUUAUCACCUUUUCUGUUUGGUAGCAAUCAGCUAGUUCCUUUUUUGUAUUAUGAAAAACUUAAAUGGUCAUUAUACUAAAUUUACAGCUGGAGAAAAUUGUUAAUUUAAAUAUUGUUCAUAUGUAAAUUUUUAUAUUUACUUUUUACUUAUGUUUAUCUUUUAUAAUAAACAUAAUGCUGUGCAUAGAUUUACAUUUGGUGGAGGUUUUUUAGUCUAUCAAAUUUGAUCUAAUGAGGAAGUGUCUGAACUCAUAACUUAUCCGCUGUAUUGUACAUAUCUCUUGGAUUUUUUAAAACUCAAGUAUCUGCCAGUUUUUAUUAUUGUACAUAUGGCAUUAGUAAUGAUUGAAUCACAAACAACACCUAAUUUCUAACUUGAUGUCUUUGGUGGAUUUGGACUAGCAGGUGUGCAUAUACUUUGGCUGCUAGGUGCUCUGUUCAAAUAUACUGAUAUUCAACUCUUUUUUGUCUUGACCAGAGUUUUUUACUCUAUAAGUUGUUGUAGUUUAUAAAAAUUUCAAGUUACAGUUAGUAUUUUUUUCAGCAAGAAAGAGGUAUGUUCAUUGACUUUUCCAACUUUUCUUCCACUUGUGAUGGUGAUGGCUGUCUGCUUUUGCUUUGGAGUUUGGCCAAUUGGGGUGUUCGAUGUAUGUUUGGUUGGAUACAAUUUGUGAUCUUUUGGAGGUGUAACCUUUUAGCAUUCCAUUUUAUGCUACGAGUAUAUUUUUUCUUGAAAUAAAAUGCUACGAGUAUAUUAUACUUCUAUAUAUAAAAUUUUCAUGUGUUAUAAAUUUUAUGUUUACAAUGGUUGUAUAUGGAAAUGCUCCAAGAAAAAAAAAAUUAGCAGCUACAAACACACAGUUUGUGUGUGUGUUGGGCAUGUUGCUCAGUUUUACAAUUAGGUCCUGUUACCUUCAAUAGAGGUCCUAGUUAUACAGCUAGGAUAAAUUGUAUAUGUAAUUUUAUUAUAGGUCAAAAAAUGCACAUGUAAAAUUUUGAUUUUAUUGUUUUUGUUGUGAUUUUUGUUUCUAUUCUAGCUGUCCAAAAGAAAAGAAUAGGCCCUGGACCGGUAACAGCAGCAGCAGCACUCUUUAACAGGCCUCCAAAGCAGACAAAAUAGGCCUAGAAUGCUAACGGGUCUGCAAACCAAAGGCGCACCCGAUAUGGAUGUGCCUAUAUGUUUAAUGGGUGCGCUAUUAUGAACUGCGGGCCCAGUAAUAGUAGCUGAGCCCUUUUUUUUGAGCAAACAUACCUGUAUUUCUAGUUAAGGAUACCGUACAUGGACACGUACAAAUACAGAUACGUCAACACAGGAUACAGAGGACAGCUGUACUGACCUAAUAGCACGAAGGCCCCUAGAAAACAAAGAAAAUGCAAGCAAGCCCUUGGACCAACUGCAGGCCGAAUCCUCCAGAAGCCAUCGCCACCGGCCAUCGCCGGAAGACGAUCUCCACCCACCACAGGUCGCCAGGGCUCCAUCGCCAGCAAGCUUUGAGAAGAGCCGCAGUAGACACCUGCCCCCAUGGGCGAGAUGGAGCAGACGUUGAAGAUCCAUCGGCCGAGGACGCGCCCCAAGCCCCGGUGACCCUGGAUGCCGGCUCGCCGACGCCGACUGACGCCGCCGCGGCACAACCGAACCAGCAUCUCCACUUCCCUGCCAAUCCCACAACCCAAAGCUGCCUCUCCACCAACAAAAGCCGAACGAGCUCACCUCGCGACGAACCGUCGGCACAAGACUCCUGUACAGGGGUUCACCGAUGGAAACCCCACCUCCACUGGCUCGCCGUCGGCGUCGGAGCAUAACACCAACGGGGCGAGGACGAAUCGGAGAGGACCUUAUUCCACUAUGGCGUCGCCGCCGCCGCCUCGACCACGCCGCCGGGAAACAAACCCUAGAUCUACUAGUACUCCCUCCGACCGGCGGGAGAGCAGCGGUCUCCACCGCCUCGCGAAGCCCCAAGGGACAUCGGAGGCGAGGAAGACCGCCGGCUCCGCCGGCCUAUGUUGCCCGGAUACGCGAAUACGGAUACCGGUAUACGAUACGGGGAUACUCCGAUACGCCAUUUUUCCAAAAACAAGGAUACGGGGAUACGCCAAUAUAUAUAAAAAUAAAAAUAAAUAAAAGUUUUAGGAUCUAGAAUGUGAGAAAAUAGAAGUUCCAGGGACUAUAAUGCGUCAUAAACUCAUAUAUUCAUAUGUUCUAUAAUUAUUAGAAAAGGGAAGGGGCAAAGGAAAAAAGAACCAACCUUAUCUUACCUGUUCGUCUGUUCCACGAAUGGAUGUCGAUCGUCUUCUUCCCCAACCUCCGGCACUCUCUCUCUCUCUUUCUCUGUGUAGCGGCCAGUUCCAGCGGCCGCGGCUCCUCCUCUCCCUCUCCGGAGGCCGCGGCUCAUCCUCUCCCUCUCUAGCGGCCAUGCGGGCUGCGCGAGCCGUGCGAGGCUACUGCGGGCCUGCGGCUGCGCGAAUGGGGAUGAGAGGGUAGCACAGCUGAACAGAGGACCUUUAUAGGAAGCGAUUGAGUGGUGUUGUUAGGGUUUGAAGGUAUCGGACAGGUAUCCACCGGUAUCCCACGAGUAUCCGAUUUAUUUUUAUUAUUUGAAAAUACCUAAAUAGUCCGAUACUUACAGGAUACGUAUCCGGGAGUAUCCGUGGAGUACAGGUAUCCGAUACCGGUACGUGAGUUUUGCGAAGUAUCUGCGUAUCAUAGCCGCCGCGCGGAGACCGAAUCGCCCUGAUUCGCCUCUCUCAACUGUAGCUGAGCGAGAGAGUUCGAGAGAGGAGAAGAGGCGUGCGACUCGAAUGAGUUAGCAGCUGAGCCCUUGGGUGAAUGGAUGAUGGACGAACUAUUGAUAUCAUCGAUUGACAAAUAUCAAAAUAUCAGUCAAUUGACAUGGAGACACCAAAAAAAAGGUCCUCUAUUUCUCCCAUUCUCAUCGCCCGUGCCCGUCUCCCUCCCCAAUGCCUUCUUCCUCCCUCGCCUCUAAUCCGCUCCUCCCUCACGCCUGCUGCUGCCGCCGGCUCCUCAUCCGCCUCCGCCGGAGCCGCGAUGUCUGCGAUGAAGUUCGGUUAUGGGGUUGGGCCCGGACCGGCGGGGGCGACAACUUCGGCUUCCGGUCUGCUCUGCAACCGCUCCGUCCUUAUGUGAAAUGCUGCUGUUGUCUCACAGGAAUCCCAAGAAAUGCUCUGCGGCCGUCAAUUCUAGUGACCAACAGAUUGUCUCCAAGCUCUUCUGAUUGCCCAUGCCAAAGUCGGCCGCAGAGAAGAUGCCGUCGGUCUAUCUUUACAUCCCUAACAUCAUUGGUAAGUCUCUGGAUGGUUUUCCGUUUACUUAUUUGCUUUAUUAUUUCAAGCUAACCGGAUAAUCUUGUAUGUGUUUUCACAAGAGUAGCCAGUCCCGUCGUUAUGGUUCCAGUAUUUGUGUUACACGUUUUAUCUGUAUUGUUGAUUCAAACAGGACCCUCUUUGCUAUCCUGUACUUCUUUAGGUGUGUCGUAAACUUCUGCAGACUACUUUGGUUCGUUAUAGUAUGCAGACCGUUUAUGUAGGUUCAUGUAUAUGGUUCUAACAUCCUUGCAAAAAUAUCAGCUUUGUCCUCGAUGGCGUUGAUGGUUGGUUUGCACGGAAGUUCAAUCAAGCAUCGACAUUUGGAGCUGUGUUGGACAUGGUUACAGAUAGGGUUAGCACUGCUUGUUUGUUGGCCCUUCUCUCACAGUGCUACAGACCAGGCUUGGUUUUCUUGAUGCUGCUUGGGUUCGACAUUACAAG
Panicum virgatum (switchgrass) is the source of this 5111-nucleotide long non-coding RNA. RefSeq lists it as uncharacterized. The record is from RefSeq and is a predicted model, not a curated record. NCBI's taxonomy places the organism in Eukaryota, Viridiplantae, Streptophyta, Magnoliopsida, Poales, Poaceae. The transcript has 4 exons.